Molecule: ribosomal RNA, 253 nt
Filed under: uncultured bacterium
Lineage: Bacteria
Description: partial 16S ribosomal RNA
Rfam family: Bacterial small subunit ribosomal RNA
Source: RNAcentral
UACGUAGGGUGCGAGCGUUAAUCGGAAUUACUGGGCGUAAAGCGUGCGCAGGCGGCUUCGCAAGUCAGACGUGAAAUCCCCGGGCUUAACCUGGGAAUGGCGUUUGAAACUACGGAGCUGGAGUGUGGCAGAGGGAGGUAGAAUUCCACGUGUAGCGGUGAAAUGCGUAGAUAUGUGGAGGAAUACCGGUGGCGAAGGCAGCCUCCUGGGCCAACACUGACGCUCAUGCACGAAAGCGUGGGGAGCAAACAGG